This 1427-nucleotide long non-coding RNA is filed under the name Helianthus annuus (common sunflower). Lineage: Eukaryota; Viridiplantae; Streptophyta; Magnoliopsida; Asterales; Asteraceae. The record is from RNAcentral.
UUUAGAGUAUUUUUGAGGGUUGUUAUAACAAUAUAUUUGUUAUAACCCGACACAAGUUCACUUUUCAUCUCGCUCUAGGGUUUCAGUGUCUUCUCCAAGCUUCCAAUCUCAAUCUCCUACAACUUCAAUCGUAUUUCUGUCUCUCCUCCAUCCCUAAAUCACAUCACUCAAGAUCUCAAAUCUUCAUCAACAAGCUUUCAUGAUGCAGGUUCACGUUCAAGAAUAUAACAACAGUACCAGGGUUCAGUCUUCCGGUGGUCGACAUUGAUGAAUACAAGGUGCAUGGUGAAGUUGAAGCUGAUCUCCCCAGAACGUCGUCAUUAUCACAACAAAGCUGCAAUAUGAUGAAUAAUCAUUUGUUUCUUGAGAUUAAGAUGAUAGCUAUCAAAUGAUUAUUUAAUGUCAAAUUUCUAUUUGAAUUGGCUUCUGUCAUGAAUCAAAUUAGUUUAGAUAUGAGGAGUUUUUGCUGACAAAUUGAUACUUUUUAGUUACUCUAAAUCACAAUCGUAGGAACAAGCAUGUUUCUUCUGCAAAUGAAUGUCAUCCACACCAAGCAAAUUGAAGUGAGUCGAUGCGGUUUUUGGAGCCGAGCGACUAUUUCGACAACAACAGUAAGUGAUGACAACAACGUCAUGGCCCUAUUAGGAUUCCGUUAAGGUAGAGACCCAGUUCAAGUUUCAAGAAUGGAUGCAUUUGAAGAUAACUUUCAGUCAUUGCUAAUCCGGAAUCUAAAGGAAAAAGAAUUACUUUUGGGAGGUAUGUAAAGUAAGGAGAAAGCAAAGUUAUGCGUUGACAGUACGGCGUGAAUUCAUACAUGCGAAUGAUUUCAUGGAAGGUCCAAAAAGCAACAACAGCGUCACACUAGAGCUCCAUGAUUCUUGCAUGAGUUCCGGUUGCAAAAAUUGUUGACCGCCAUAAAGGUCAUCGACAAGAGCGCAAUUGAAUUGGUGGUGACUAUUGCUGAACAACGGGAGUUUGAUUACUUUGCUUGGCUGUUCAAUGGCCGCCAAUUACUGCUCGAAAGCGACUAAAUGUUAUCAAAGCGUUUGCUGCCGAGGGUAAUUGAUUGAUUAUUCAUUGUUGUUUGACUUUUUUUGUUUUUGAACAAAAUUUGAUAUAGGUAACGAGUGAUUUGGUGUUUUGGAUAGUUGUUGAAGUAGUUGACUGUUUGAUUUGGUUGGGCAUAUUAGAUGCUAUAUGGUUUGUUUGUUGUUGUAAAGAUUGGGAUAUUGUAUUUGAUAUUUGAAAGAUGUUAUUAAUUAUGGAGUUAUUGUAGAUUAAUCUUGAUGGGUAUGAGUUAAAGUUGGAUAAUUUGAUACGUGUCACUGAGUCAGAACUGAUUGCAAAACAGGUCAAUAAAUGGGUCUGUAGGAAGUUUAUUUAUUUAGUCACAUGUUAUAUGAGUUACUUUUGUUUAUGUAAGUAGU